CUACACGACGCUCUUCCGAUCUAGAGGUGCGUCUGCAGAAAGUUCAAUAGAAGAACCGAGAGUAAAUGCACCUGCCGCCAUGACUACCUGACUUUCGUAACCCGGCAUAUCCGACGGAAUCGGAGAUACAAAGCUGUCAACAGCCGAACCGCUCUGAACACCCUCGCAAAAACGGCAUACCUUUUCUGCAUUACCGAGCAUGAUAAGCUGAAUGAUAUCUCCUCUUGCAUCAUUGUACUUAGGACUUGUUUCAUAACCGAGAAUUUCAAAAAGUGCCGAUGCAAAUACUGCAGUUUUAAGUGCUUCCCCCGUAACAUGAGGAGCAUGGUACGCACCCAUAAAAAGUUCUCUGUUUGCGUUAAGAGUAGCACCGAUUUCUUUGCCUGUACCGGGAGUGGUAAGUCUGUAAGCACACAUCUCUACAAGUUCUUUCUUACCUGCAAUAUAUCCUCCUGUCGGAGCAAUACCGCCACCCGGAUUCUUGAUAAGAGAACCUGCCAUCAUAUCAACACCAACCGACAAAGGUUCAACCUUGUCAAUGAAUUCACCGUAACAGUUAUCGAGCAUAAUAAUACUUUCGGGCGAAUUGGCUUUUGAAAUUUCACAAAGCUUUUUGAUUUCUCUCCAUGUGAGCGUAGGUCUUGUGCUGUAGCCUCUUGAACGCUGUAUGUAAACCAUUUUAGGCUUUUUUUCUGCAAUGUCGCUUGCGAUUUUGUCAUAGUCAAGUGUGCCGUCAGGAUUAAGCUCGGUCAUUUCAAAAUUGAUUGAAAAGUCCUUGAGUGAACCGGGAUAGUCACCCUCAAUGCCUAUGGCAGAACGGAUUGUAUCAUACGGCAUUCCUGUUACGGAAAGCAUUGUAUCCCCCGGUCUUAAAACGCCGAAAAGUGCAACUGUAAGGGCAUGAGUACCGCUUACGAAAUUAUGACGGACAAGUGCGUCUUCAGCAUCAAACACAUAGGCAUAGACCUUGUCAAGAGCCUCUCUGCCUGCAUCGUCAUAUCCGUAGCCUGUAGAACCCCAAAGGUGACUUUCACGAACAUCCGCAAGGUACAUGUACAGGAUAGGUGGGAGACUAUGAAGCAUGGACGUCAGUCUGUGUGGAGUCAUCCUUGGGAUACCACCCUUGUAGUACUGGGAUUCUAACCAGAGGCCAUGAAUCUGGUCUUGGGACACUGUCAGGUGGACAGUUUGACUGGGGCGGUCGCCUCCCAAAAAGUAACGGAGGCGCUCAAAGGUUCUCUCAGUACGGUCGGAAAUCGUACGAAGAGUGUAAAGGCAAAAGAGAGCUUGAUUGCAAGACAUACAGGUCGAGCAAGGACGAAAGUCGGACUUAGUGAUCCGGUGGUUCCGCAUGGAAGGGCCAUCGCUCAACGGAUAAAAGCUACCCUGGGGAUAACAGGCUGAUCUCCCCCAAGAGUCCACAUCGACGGGGAGGUUUGGCACCUCGAUGUCGGCUCAUCACAUCCUGGGGCUGUAUUCGGUCCCAAGGGUUCGGCUGUUCGCCGAUUAAAGUGGUACGCGAGCUGGGUUCAGAACGUCGCGAGACAGUUCGGUCCCUAUCUGUCGUGGGCGCAGGAUAUUUGAGGAGCUCUGUCCUUAGUACGAGAGGACCGGGAUGGACGUACCUCUGGUGCACCAGUUGUCAUGCCAAUGGCACGGCUGGGCAGCUAUGUACGGAACGGAUAAACGCUGAAAGCAUCUAAGCGUGAAGCCGACUCCAAGAUUAGAUAUCCCAUCGUAUAACGAGUAAGACCCCUUGAAGACUACGAGGUUGAUAGGCUGCGUGUGUAAGUGCCGUGAGGCAUUCAGCUUGGCAGUACUAAUAGGUCGAGGGCUUGACCA
RNAcentral lists this ribosomal RNA (1842 nucleotides) under human gut metagenome. Its description in RNAcentral is "bacterial LSU rRNA". The stretch from base 984 to 1831 matches the Rfam family "Bacterial large subunit ribosomal RNA", at positions 2049 to 2912 of the family's 2925-position model. The record is from RNAcentral.